This 29-nucleotide non-coding RNA is filed under the name Rattus norvegicus (Norway rat). Lineage: Eukaryota; Metazoa; Chordata; Mammalia; Rodentia; Muridae. The record is from RNAcentral.
UGAUAUGUAUUCAGUAUCUCUAAGCAUAU